UUCUUUUUCUUUAUUAAAACUUGAUUUUUAAACACACACGUGGACAAUUCUCCAGCGUCCACCCUUGCAAAACCUGUUCCAAUCCCCCCUCCCCCUCCCCAGAUGGCAAAUGACCCAAUAUAUGUUAAACAAUGGAAAUACAUGUUAACUCCAACAUAUGCAGACACAUGGAUACAGUUACCUGGCGGCGCAAGGAAAAUCAAGUCAAACCGGGAACAAUGCAAGCAAACAACAGAGUGAGAGCGCCGUGUCGUGCAGCCCCUCUGGGGGCAGGCGGCUCUCCGGCCAAGCUCAUGGGAGUGGCGUCUCCAGUCUCCAUCAGCACUGAGAGCCACCCCCCAGCCCCGAAGCUUGGAGGACCAGGAAGCGGUCAUGGGAAGCCCCAGAACAAGGCGGCCUGGGAGGAACUGUGGCCCCCGGCUGCGGAGGGAGACAGACACGUUCCUUUGUGAAAAUGAGGGCUAGCACUGGCUCCCUAAAACUGGAAGGAAGCCAGCCAGGUCUGCUUAAGUCAGUGGCAAGGUCACGGAGGUGAGGCUCCUCAGGGCUCCUUGCUCCGGCCUUUCUCCCCAUCACCAAACCCUUGGGCUCAAUCCCUCACCCACCCAGGGCCUGGGAUGCCUUUCCUCCCGUCUGGAGCCAUCUCUGGCUUCUCCAGAACUUCACCUUCGGCAGGAAGCCCCCCUCCCCCCAGUCACCGUCUCCCCUGUCCCUCAACACCAUGUAGACAGACACGGAUAUCUCGUCUCCUUGAUUUGAAGGCGGGGACAUCAUUUUUGCCUUGUGCUCCCAGAAUUUGGCCCUCUCCUGGUACACAGUAAACAAUAAAUGUUCGUUGACUGAUUUUUUCUUCAUCUGCAUGAACUGAUUUCUAAGUUCUGACCUCCUUCUUCUGGCAAUGAUGUACGUUAAGUUUGCUUUGGAAGCAUCGUCGGCCGUGUGGAUGUCUGUUCUUUUAUCCAUUUCUCAUUGUAGGUGGGGAUUGUCUCAUUAACCCCUCCUACAGAAAUUAUACAGUUACAGUUAAGAGAACUGGAAUUUUAGAUAAUGACAGUUUAACGGUCCUUAGAAUAAUCGGUGGGAAGUCAGAGUUUAAAUGGCAU
This 1103-nucleotide long non-coding RNA is filed under the name Sarcophilus harrisii (Tasmanian devil). RNAcentral's name for it is "lncRNA (ENSSHAG00000029877.1)". The record is from RNAcentral. Lineage: Eukaryota; Metazoa; Chordata; Mammalia; Dasyuromorphia; Dasyuridae.